This 969-nucleotide non-coding RNA is filed under the name Picumnus aurifrons. Its description in RNAcentral is "12S ribosomal RNA". It matches the Rfam family "Bacterial small subunit ribosomal RNA". Lineage: Eukaryota; Metazoa; Chordata; Aves; Piciformes; Picidae. The record is from RNAcentral.
AACAGACUUAGUCCUAACCUUACUAUUAAUUUCUGCCAGACCUAUACAUGCAAGUAUCCGCGACCCAGUGUAAAUGCCCUCAACCCCAACCAAGACGAGAGGAGCUGGCAUCAGGCACACCCCCAUCGUAGCCCAAGACGCCUUGCUUAGCCACACCCCCACGGGUAUUCAGCAGUAACUAACAUUAAGCAAUAAGUGCAAACUUGACUUAGCCAUGGCAGCCCAGGGUUGGUAAAUCUUGUGCCAGCCACCGCGGUCAUACAAGAAGCCCAAAUUAAUAGUUCACGGCGUAAAGAGUGGUCUAACACUAUCCCCCAAACUGAGGUUAAAACGUACCUAAGCCGUCAUAAGCCCAAGACACGCCUAAACCCCACCAUCACUCCAACCUCAGUAUCAAUGAUUAACCGAACCCACGAAAGCCAAGACACAAACUGGGAUUAGAUACCCCACUAUGCUCGGCCAUAAAUCCAAGUGCUUUAUACACCCAAGCACUCGCCAGGGAACUACGAGCACAAACGCUUAAAACCCUAAGGACUUGGCGGUGUUCCAAACCCACCUAGAGGAGCCUGUCCUAUAAUCGAUAACCCACGCUACACCCAACCCCCUCUCGCCCAAGCAGCCUACAUACCGCCGUCGUCAGCCCACCUCCUCUGAGAGCCAAACAGUGAGCCCAACAGCCUAACCCGCUAAAAAGACAGGUCAAGGUAUAGCCCAUGAGGUGGCAGAGAUGGGCUACAUUUUCUGAUACAGACAACCCAUCAACGGAAAGGAGCCUGAAACUGACCCCUAGAAGGCGGAUUUAGCAGUAAAAUGCAACCAUCGUGCCCAUUUUAAACCGGCCCUGGAACACGUACAUACCGCCCGUCACCCUCCUCACAAGCAGCACCACCACAAACUAUUACCCCAACCAAGCUAAAGAUGAGGUAAGUCGUAACAAGGUAAGUGUACCGGAAGGUGCACUUAGAACAU